ACUCAAAUGAAUUGACGGGGACUUGCACAAGCGGUGGAUCAUGCGGCUCAAUUCGAUGGCAAACGAAGAACCUCACCAGGGUUUGAAACGGAGACGACCGGCUAGGAAACUAGCCUUUCGCAAGACGGCUCCGCAGGUGAUGCAUGGUCGUCGUCAGUUCGUGGCUUGAGUUGUUCCCUUCAGUGGGGUAACGAACGCAACCCGCGUUGCCUGUUUUACAUGUCAGGCGAGACUGCCCUCUCACGAGGGAGGAAGGUGCGGAUGACGCCAGAUCAGCAUGUCCCUCUGAUAUCCUGGGCUGCACGCAUGAUACAAUGGACGCGACAACGAGACGCAAUGGGGUAACCCGGAGCAAAUCUUUUAAACGCGUCCCCAGUUCGGAUUGAGGUCUGCAACUCGACCUCAUGAAGCCGGAAUCGCUAGUAAUCGCGGGUCAGCUAUACCGCGGUGAAUACGUUCUCAAGUCUUGUACACACCGCCCGU
Molecule: ribosomal RNA, 483 nt
Filed under: uncultured bacterium
Lineage: Bacteria
Description: partial 16S ribosomal RNA
Rfam family: Bacterial small subunit ribosomal RNA
Source: RNAcentral